RNAcentral lists this ribosomal RNA (236 nucleotides) under uncultured Actinomycetales bacterium. RNAcentral's name for it is "partial 16S ribosomal RNA". It matches the Rfam family "Bacterial small subunit ribosomal RNA", at positions 97 to 334 of the family's 1533-position model. Lineage: Bacteria; Bacillati; Actinomycetota; Actinomycetes; Actinomycetales. The record is from RNAcentral.
GGCGAACGGGUGAGUAACACGUGAGUAACCUGCCCACAACUUUGGGAUAACGCUAGGAAACUGGUGCUAAUACUGGAUAUGUGCUCCUGCUGCAUGGUGGGGGUUGGAAAGCUCCGGCGGUUGUGGAUGGACUCGCGGCCUAUCAGCUUAUUGGUGGGGUAGUGGCCUACCAAGGCGGCGACGGGUAGCCGGCCUGAGAGGGUGACCGGCCACAUUGGGACUGAGAUACGGCCCAG